RNAcentral lists this ribosomal RNA (454 nucleotides) under uncultured Parabacteroides sp. RNAcentral's name for it is "partial 16S ribosomal RNA". It matches the Rfam family "Bacterial small subunit ribosomal RNA", at positions 341 to 792 of the family's 1533-position model. The record is from RNAcentral. Lineage: Bacteria; Pseudomonadati; Bacteroidota; Bacteroidia; Bacteroidales; Tannerellaceae.
ACGGGAGGCAGCAGUGAGGAAUAUUGGUCAAUGGAGGCAACUCUGAACCAGCCAUCUCGCGUGAAGGAAUACGGCCCUACGGGUCUUAAACUUCUUUUAUAGGGGGAUAAAGUGAGAUAUGCAUAUCUUUUUGUAGGUACCCUAUGAAUAAGCAUCGGCUAACUCCGUGCCAGCAGCCGCGGUAAUACGGAGGAUGCGAGCGUUAUCCGGAUUUAUUGGGUUUAAAGGGUGCGUAGGCGGCACGUUAAGUCAGCGGUGAAAUGUCGGGGCUCAACCCGGGCACUGCCGUUGAAACUGGCGAGCUUGAGUACGGAUGAAGUCGGCGGAAUGUGAUGUGUAGCGGUGAAAUGCAUAGAUAUGACGAAGAACACCGAUUGCGUAGGCAGCUGACCAGGCCGUAAAUGACGCUCAUGCACGAAAGUGCGGGGAUCGAACAGGAUUAGAUACCCUGGUA